Small nuclear RNA from Pipistrellus kuhlii (Kuhl's pipistrelle), 104 nucleotides. The record is from RefSeq and is a predicted model, not a curated record. NCBI's taxonomy places the organism in Eukaryota, Metazoa, Chordata, Mammalia, Chiroptera, Vespertilionidae.
GUGCUCGCUUCGGCAGCACCGAUACCAAACGUGGAAUGAUACAGAGAUUAGUAUGGCCCCUGGCCCAGGAUGACAUGCAAAUUCAUGUAGUGUUCCAUUUUUUU